UGGGGAAUAUUGCACAAUGGGGGAAACCCUGAUGCAGCGACGCCGCGUGAGCGAUGAAGGCUUUCGAGUCGUAAAGCUCUGUUCUAUGGGAAGAUAAUGACGGUACCAUAGAAGAAAGCCCCGGCUAAUUACGUGCCAGCAGCCGCGGUAAUACGUAAGGGGCGAGCGUUGUCCGGAAUUAUUGGGCGUAAAGAGUGCGUAGGCGGCAAAUUAAGUCAGAUGUGAAAACUAAGGGCUCAACCCAUAGAUUGCAUCUGAAACUGAUAUGCUUGAGUCAAGGAGAGGAAAGUGGAAUUCCUAGUGUAGCGGUGGAAUGCGUAGAUAUUAGGAGGAAUACCGGUGGCGAAGGCGACUUUCUGGACUUGAACUGACGCUGAGGCACGAAAGCGUGGGGAGCAAACAGG
Molecule: ribosomal RNA, 404 nt
Filed under: Verrucomicrobiota bacterium
Lineage: Bacteria; Pseudomonadati; Verrucomicrobiota
Description: Verrucomicrobia bacterium partial 16S ribosomal RNA
Rfam family: Bacterial small subunit ribosomal RNA
Source: RNAcentral